RNAcentral lists this transfer RNA (84 nucleotides) under Fasciola gigantica. It matches the Rfam family "tRNA". Rfam says of the family: Transfer RNA (tRNA) molecules are approximately 80 nucleotides in length. The record is from Rfam by way of RNAcentral. Lineage: Eukaryota; Metazoa; Platyhelminthes; Trematoda; Plagiorchiida; Fasciolidae.
GGCCUCGUAGCUCAGCUGGUAGAGCAUAAGCGGUACUAAAGCAAGGGUGGCAAACAUGCACGGGUUCGAAUCCCGCCGGGGUCA